GAUGAACGCUGGCGGCGUGCCUAAUACAUGCAAGUCGAGCGAACGGACGAGAAGCCUUCCUUCCUGACGUUAGCGGCGGACGGGUGAGUAAAACGUGGAUAACCCACCCUUAAGACUGGGGUAACUUCGGGAAACCGUUGCCUAUACCCGCAAAAAUUUUGAACCGCAAGGUUCAAAAGUGAAAGACGGUCUUGCUGUCACUUAUAGAAGGACCCGCGCUGCAUUAGCUAGUUGGUAAGGUAACGGCUUACCAAGGCAACGAUGCAUAGCCGACCUAGGGGGGGGAUCGGCCACCCUGGAACUGGGACACGGUCCAGACUCCUACGGGAGGCAGCGGUAGGGAAUCUUCCGCAAUGGGCGAAAGCCUGACGGGGCAACGCCGCGGGAGUGAUGAAGGUCUUCGGAUCGUAAAACUCUGUUAUAGGGAAGAACAUAUGUGUAAGUAACUGUGCACAUCUUGACGGUACCUAAUCAGAAAGCCACGGCUAACUACGUG
Molecule: ribosomal RNA, 496 nt
Filed under: uncultured bacterium
Lineage: Bacteria
Description: partial 16S ribosomal RNA
Rfam family: Bacterial small subunit ribosomal RNA
Source: RNAcentral